GUCAGGAUGGCCGAGUAGUCUAAGACACCAGACUUAAGGUAUCCGCUUCCGCUUUCGGGGUUACUGGUCGCCAGGUGGAGCCGUGGGUUCGAAUCCCACUUCUGACA
This 107-nucleotide transfer RNA is filed under the name Loxodonta africana (African savanna elephant). It matches the Rfam family "tRNA". From Rfam's summary of the family: Transfer RNA (tRNA) molecules are approximately 80 nucleotides in length. Their secondary structure includes four short double-helical elements and three loops (D, anti-codon, and T loops). Further hydrogen bonds mediate the characteristic L-shaped molecular structure. tRNAs have two regions of fundamental functional importance: the anti-codon, which is responsible for specific mRNA codon recognition, and the 3' end, to which the tRNAs corresponding amino acid is attached (by aminoacyl-tRNA synthetases). tRNAs cope with the degeneracy of the genetic code in two manners: having more than one tRNA (with a specific anti-codon) for a particular amino acid; and 'wobble' base-pairing, i.e. permitting non-standard base-pairing at the 3rd anti-codon position. Lineage: Eukaryota; Metazoa; Chordata; Mammalia; Proboscidea; Elephantidae. The record is from Rfam by way of RNAcentral.